GUUCAGUGGAUUUAGCUCCAUCUGUACAUCAUACUCACGUCAUAUUCCCACCAACCUUUUCAUCUGUCUGCCUGCCUGCAUGUCUGUCUGUCUGUCUGUCUAUCUUGUGAAUUGGGUGGGAAGAGGCAGUAUACAGAGAAUUUCCCUUUUUGUAAUUACUGGGUAAUUAAUAGUAGUUAUUUCUUUAAAUGAAAGAAGAAAGGUUUCAA
Pelobates cultripes (western spadefoot toad) is the source of this 209-nucleotide non-coding RNA. NCBI's taxonomy places the organism in Eukaryota, Metazoa, Chordata, Amphibia, Anura, Pelobatidae. The record is from the annotation of a GenBank genome assembly.